GGUCAAGGGCAGACAUGUUCCAGCUCUCUUGACGAGCUCCCAGAGGACUGGGAGUGGACUGGAUUCUGGCCAGAGCCAUUUAUUCUUGAAGAAAUUAGAAACCAGCGGGAUAUGGCUCUGCUUAUUCAGAAGGAGUAAGAAAUAAACUAAUGGGACAAGUGUGAUAGAUACCUGAAAGGAGACAGAAGCCCUGAUGAGUCUAUGAAGAUGACCCAAGAGAAGAUGCCUGCUAACCAUCUCCCUGGCUCAGAGAAUGUGAAGCCACCCAAUCAGCCCUUUACUUCAAUUCCAAGGGCAGCAAUAAUGCCUACCGUGGCCAGGACAAGGGUGAAGCAAGUGAAGUGCCUCGGGUGCAGCACUGAAGGAGGUGUUCACUUCCAGAUCUGAGGAUGUGCAGGUGGGCACCUGGGAAUGGGGGUCUCCUGAGAAGCUGUGCUCUGGGCACCUUGGGUGCCUCCCUCCAGUCCUGGCCUUUCUACUGCCUACAGAAAAGCAUUUUGGUUUAUUAGCCGGGCAGCUGUGGCAUCAAGAGUAAGACCA
Molecule: long non-coding RNA, 540 nt
Organism: Cervus elaphus (red deer)
Lineage: Eukaryota; Metazoa; Chordata; Mammalia; Artiodactyla; Cervidae
Exons: 3
Source: RefSeq, a predicted model, not a curated record